CACUCCUGCGGGAGGCAGCAGUGGGGAAUAUUGGACAAUGGGCGCAAGCCUGAUCCAGCCAUGCCGCGUGAGUGAUGAAGGCCCUAGGGUUGUAAAGCUCUUUCACCGGAGAAGAUAAUGACGGUAUCCGGAGAAGAAGCCCCGGCUAACUUCGUGCCAGCAGCCGCGGUAAUACGAAGGGGGCUAGCGUUGUUCGGAAUUACUGGGCGUAAAGCGCACGUAGGCGGAUCGAUCAGUCAGGGGUGAAAUCCCAGGGCUCAACCCUGGAACUGCCUUUGAUACUGUCGAUCUGGAGUAUGGAAGAGGUGAGUGGAAUUCCGAGUGUAGAGGUGAAAUUCGUAGAUAUUCGGAGGAACACCAGUGGCGAAGGCGGCUCACUGGUCCAUUACUGACGCUGAGGUGCGAAAGCGUGGGGAGCAAACAGGAUUAGAUACCCGUGUAGUCCCAUG
RNAcentral lists this ribosomal RNA (449 nucleotides) under uncultured organism. RNAcentral describes it as "partial 16S ribosomal RNA". It matches the Rfam family "Bacterial small subunit ribosomal RNA", at positions 334 to 799 of the family's 1533-position model. The record is from RNAcentral.